This 1416-nucleotide ribosomal RNA is filed under the name uncultured bacterium. RNAcentral's name for it is "16S ribosomal RNA". It matches the Rfam family "Bacterial small subunit ribosomal RNA". The record is from RNAcentral.
GUUUGAUCCUGGCUCAGGAUGAACGCUGGCGGCGUGGAUAAGGCAUGCAAGUCGCAUGGGUUUAGACCCAUGGCAAACGGGUUAGUAAUACAUAGGAACGUACCCUCAAGUCGUGAAUAACCCCGAGAAAUCGGGAAUAGUACACGAUGUACUCUACGGAGUAAAGAUUUAUCGCUUGAGGAGCGGCCUGUGUCCUAUCAGCUUGUUGGUAGUGUAAUGGACUACCAAGGCUAUGACGGGUAGGGGACGUGAGAGCGUGACCCCCAACAUUGGAACUGAGACACUGUCCAAACACCUACGGGUGGCUGCAGUCGAGAAUAUUCCACAAUGGGCGAAAGCCUGGUGGAGCGACGCCGCGUGCAGGAAGAAGGCCCUUGGGUCGUAAACUGCUUUUCUACUUGAAAAAUUUUAUGAUGGUAGAGUAGGAAUAAGAGGUUGCUAACUCUGUGCCAGCAGCAGCGGUAAUACAGAGACCUCAAGCGUUAUCCGGAUUUAUUGGGCGUAAAGAGCAUGUAGGCGGUUUUGUUAGUCAGAUGUCAAAUCUUCGAGCUCAACUCGAAAACUGCAUUUGAAACGGCAAAACUUGAGGAAGUGAGGGACCAGUGGAACGUAUGGUGUAGUAGUGAAAUGCGUUGAUAUCAUACGGAACACCAAAGGCGAAGGCAUCUGGUUGGCACUUUUCUGACGCUGAGAUGCGAAAGCGUGGGUAGCGAAUGGGAUUAGAUACCCCAGUAGUCCACGCCGUAAACGAUGCAUACUAGAUAUCGGGAGAAUCGACCCUCUCGGUGUCGUASUAACGCGUUAAGUAUGCCGCCUGGGAAGUACGAGCGCAAGCUUAAAACUCAAAGGAAUAGACGGGGAUCCGCACAAGUGGUGGAGCAUGUGGUUUAAUUCGACAAUAAGCGAGGAACCUCACCAGGGCUUGAAACUUAGCUGCAUUACCUAGAAAUAGGUAAGCCUUCGAGGGUGCUAAGCAGGCGUUGCACGGUCGUCGUCAGCUCGUGCCGUAAGGUGUUCUGUUAAGUCAGGAAACGAGCGCAACCCCUAUCGUAUGUUACAAUGUCAUACGAGACUGCCCCCGGGAGGAAGGCGGGGAUGACGUCAGAUCAGCGUGGCCCUCUGACGCCCUGGGCUACACACGUGCUACAAUGGCCAGUACAAAGGGUUGCCAAACCGUAAGGUGGAGCUAAUCCCAAAAAACUGGUCUCAGUUCGGAUUGAGGUCUGCAACUCGACCUCAUGAAGCCGGAAUCACUAGUAAUCGUAGAUCAGCCAUGCUACGGUGAAUACGUUCCCGGGUCUUGUACUCACCGCCCGUCACACCAUGGGAGUUGAUUUCACCCGAAGCGGGGAAGCUAAAUUGGCUACCCUCCACGGUGGAAUUAGCGACUGGGGUGAAGUCGUAACAAGGUAGCCG